ACUCGCCAUGUGACUAAUCGACGUAAAUAUAGUUUACACACAGGAAUUACAUCUGAUCUUCACACAGUCAACAAAAUCACUUGCAGUAAUAUCAGAGUAAUUAUGCCGAGAAAAGCGAGAUCACUUUCGGAGAGGAAGACCAUGUAAUCCUGUAUCAUUAUAUCUUUCGGAUCAAAAAUGGCGGGCUUUUCAAUCUUCGAAACUCUACACGUUGUGGAUUCGUUGUAGUAAACUGUCUAUUUGUUUUGGCUGCAUUGGAUAGCACCUCUGAACUCAGUAAUCCUUUGGAUACUUGGCGAAAGGAAGAUCAGGAUAAUGUAUCACCCGUUAAAACACUACAAAGAACGAAUAAAACAUAGCAUGGAAACGUACUGUUCAGAAAUGAUGAAUUUAUGGACAAACUACUGAACUCCUACAUUAUGAGCACUGUGGAACAGUUUGAUCUGAACUGCACUGCAGCCAGAGUGUUGUUAAAUGCCAUGCCUGGGCUGGAAAGUGCUGCAGUUUUUCAAGAUAUGAUAUUAGAUCAAGAUGAUAACUUCUUCUUGAGAGUCUG
Pocillopora damicornis (cauliflower coral) is the source of this 556-nucleotide long non-coding RNA. The record is from RefSeq and is a predicted model, not a curated record. Lineage: Eukaryota; Metazoa; Cnidaria; Anthozoa; Scleractinia; Pocilloporidae.